This 465-nucleotide ribosomal RNA is filed under the name uncultured bacterium. RNAcentral's name for it is "partial 16S ribosomal RNA". It matches the Rfam family "Bacterial small subunit ribosomal RNA", at positions 28 to 507 of the family's 1533-position model. The record is from RNAcentral.
GACGAACGCUGGCGGCGUGCUUAACACAUGCAAGUCGAACGGAAAGGCCCUGCUUGCAGGGUACUCGAGUGGCGAACGGGUGAGUAACACGUGGGUGAACUGCCCUGCACUUCGGGAUAAGCCUGGGAAACUGGGUCUAAUACCGGAUAGGAGCCAUUUUUAGUGUGAUGGUUGGAAAGUUUUUUCGGUGUAGGAUGAGCUCGCGGCCUAUCAGCUUGUUGGUGGGGUAAUGGCCUACCAAGGCGGCGACGGGUAGCCGGCCUGAGAGGGUGGACGGCCACAUUGGGACUGAGAUACGGCCCAGACUCCUACGGGAGGCAGCAGUGGGGAAUAUUGCACAAUGGGCGCAAGCCUGAUGCAGCGACGCCGCGUGGGGGAUGACGGCCUUCGGGUUGUAAACUCCUUUCGCUAGGGACGAAGCUUUUUGUGACGGUACCUAGAGAAGAAGCACCGGCUAACUACGUG